RNAcentral lists this ribosomal RNA (497 nucleotides) under uncultured bacterium. RNAcentral describes it as "partial 16S ribosomal RNA". It matches the Rfam family "Bacterial small subunit ribosomal RNA", at positions 28 to 507 of the family's 1533-position model. The record is from RNAcentral.
GAUGAACGCUGGCGGCGUGCCUAAUACAUGCAAGUCGAGCGAACAGACGAGGAGCUUGCUCCUCUGACGUUAGCGGCGGACGGGUGAGUAACACGUGGAUAACCUACCUAUAAGACUGGGAUAACUUCGGGAAACCGGAGCUAAUACCGGGUAAUUUAUUGAACCGCAUGGUUCAAUAGUGAAAGACGGUUUUGCUGUCACUUAUAGAUGGAUCCGCGCCGCAUUAGCUAGUUGGUAAGGUAACGGCUUACCAAGGCAACGAUGCGUAGCCGACCUGAGAGGGUGAUCGGCCACACUGGAACUGAGACACGGUCCAGACUCCUACGGGAGGCAGCAGUAGGGAAUCUUCCGCAAUGGGCGAAAGCCUGACGGAGCAACGCCGCGUGAGUGAUGAAGGUCUUCGGAUCGUAAAACUCUGUUAUUAGGGAAGAACAAAUGUGUAAGUAACUAUGCACGUCUUGACGGUACCUAAUCAGAAAGCCACGGCUAACUACGUG